CACACCAGUUCUGGGUUUGCUUUUCACAAGAAGCAUUGCAUGAUGUGAAUGAUGCCUCGCACAAAAGAGCUCUCAGAAGACCUACGAUUAAGAAUUUUUGACUUGCAUAAAGCUGGAAAGGGUUAUAAAAGCUGUUCAUCAGUCCACGGUAAGACAAAUUGUCUAUAAAUGGAGAAAGUUCAGCACUGCUGCUACUCUCCCUAGGAGUGGCCCUCCUGUAAAGAUGACUGCAAGAGCACAGCACAGACUGCUCAAUGAGGUGAAGAAGAAUCCUAGAGUGUCAGCUAAAGACUUACAAAAGUUACUGGCAAAUGCUAACAUCCCUGUUAGCGAAUCUACAAUACGUAAAACACUAAACAAGAAUGGAUUUCA
Molecule: long non-coding RNA, 372 nt
Filed under: Pelobates cultripes (western spadefoot toad)
Lineage: Eukaryota; Metazoa; Chordata; Amphibia; Anura; Pelobatidae
Source: RNAcentral